AACGCACCUUGCGCUCUUUGGUAUUCCGAAGAGCAUGCCUGUUUGAGUGUCAUGAAAAUAUCAACCUUGACUUGGGUUUUGUGCUCUAGUCUCGGCUUGGAUUUGGGUGCUUGCCGCUUUAACGAGUGGCUCACCUUAAAUGUAUUAGCUGGAUCUGUCUUUGAGACUUGGUUUGACUUGGCGUAAUAAGUAUUUCGCUAAGGACAUUCUUCGGAGUGGCCUCGUUUCUAGGACGCUUGUCCGCUUUCCAAUACAAGUUCCACCUCGUGGACAUGACUUUUUAUUAUCUGGCCUCAAAUCAGGUAGGACUACCCGCUGAACUUAA
This 325-nucleotide unclassified non-coding RNA is filed under the name uncultured Solicoccozyma. RNAcentral describes it as "sequence contains ITS2". The stretch from base 1 to 52 matches the Rfam family "5.8S ribosomal RNA", at positions 103 to 154 of the family's 154-position model. Lineage: Eukaryota; Fungi; Basidiomycota; Tremellomycetes; Filobasidiales; Piskurozymaceae. The record is from RNAcentral.